GACGAACGCUGGCGGCGUGCCUAAUACAUGCAAGUAGAACGCUGAAGAGAGGAGCUUGCUCUUCUUGGAUGAGUUGCGAACGGGUGAGUAACGCGUAGGUAACCUGCCUUGUAGCGGGGGAUAACUAUUGGAAACGAUAGCUAAUACCGCAUAACAAUGGAUGACACAUGUCAUUUAUUUGAAAGGGGCAAUUGUUCCACUACAAGAUGGACCUGCGUUGUAUUAGCUAGUAGGUGAGGUAAUGGCUCACCUAGGCGACGAUACAUAGCCGACCUGAGAGGGUGAUCGGCCACACUGGGACUGAGACACGGCCCAGACUCCUACGGGAGGCAGCAGUAGGGAAUCUUCGGCAAUGGGGGCAACCCUGACCGAGCAACGCCGCGUGAGUGAAGAAGGUUUUCGGAUCGUAAAGCUCGGUUGUAAGUCAAGAACGGGUGUGAGAGUGGAAAGUUCACACUGUGACGGUAGCUUACCAGAAAGAGACGGCUAACUACGUG
Molecule: ribosomal RNA, 497 nt
Filed under: uncultured bacterium
Lineage: Bacteria
Description: partial 16S ribosomal RNA
Rfam family: Bacterial small subunit ribosomal RNA
Source: RNAcentral